This 315-nucleotide ribosomal RNA is filed under the name uncultured eukaryote. RNAcentral's name for it is "partial 18S ribosomal RNA". It matches the Rfam family "Eukaryotic small subunit ribosomal RNA", at positions 1470 to 1796 of the family's 1831-position model. The record is from RNAcentral.
CCCUUAGACGUUCUGGGCCGCACGCGCGCUACACUGACCUGUGCAACAAGCAUCCGUCCUUGGCCGACAGGCCCGGGCAAUCUUUGAACGCUGGUCGUGAUGGGGAUAGACUUUUGCAAUUUUUGGUCUUCAACGAGGAAUUCCUAGUAAACGCAAGUCAUCAACUUGCAUUGAUUACGUCCCUGCCCUUUGUACACACCGCCCGUCGCACCUACCGAUUGAAUGGUCCGGUGAAGCCUCCGGAUUGGCGCGCACCUCGGUGCCGCCGAGAAGUUGGCUAAACCUUACCAUUUAGAGGAAGGUGAAGUCGUAACA